Fusarium oxysporum f. sp. lycopersici 4287 is the source of this 287-nucleotide ribosomal RNA. It matches the Rfam family "Eukaryotic large subunit ribosomal RNA", at positions 1544 to 1841 of the family's 3401-position model. Lineage: Eukaryota; Fungi; Ascomycota; Sordariomycetes; Hypocreales; Nectriaceae. The record is from Rfam.
CCACAGGUUUAUAAUCACGGUUGAUCAUGUAUUUAGCAAUGAGACCAUGGGCUUCAUGCACCGUCUGGCGAAAGGGAAGCCGGUCAAUAUUCCGGCACCUGAGUGUGGGUUUUGCGCGGCAACGCAACUGAACGUGGAGACGUUGGCGGGGUACCCGGGCAGACUUCUCUUUUCUUCUUAACAGUCUCUCUCCCAAGGCAGCCAGGAAAUGCAAGACUUGAGAUUGCCCGGGGGUGCCAUGGUAUCCGAUAAAUGCUGCCAAGUAAAGGGGCAAAGUUCAAGUCUUG